RNAcentral lists this ribosomal RNA (2893 nucleotides) under Acinetobacter baumannii. RNAcentral describes it as "23S ribosomal RNA". It matches the Rfam family "Bacterial large subunit ribosomal RNA". The record is from RNAcentral. Lineage: Bacteria; Pseudomonadati; Pseudomonadota; Gammaproteobacteria; Moraxellales; Moraxellaceae.
GUUGUAUAGUCAAGUAAUUAAGUGCAUGUGGUGGAUGCCUUGGCAGUCAGAGGCGAUGAAAGACGUGAUAGCCUGCGAAAAGCUCCGGGGAGGCGGCAAAUAUCCUUUGAUCCGGAGAUGUCUGAAUGGGGGAACCCACCUACUUUAAGGUAGGUAUUGCAACAUGAAUACAUAGUGUUGCAAGGCGAACGAGGGGAAGUGAAACAUCUCAGUACCCUUAGGAAAAGAAAUCAAUUGAGAUUCCCUCAGUAGCGGCGAGCGAACGGGGAUCAGCCCAUUAAGUUAUGUGUGUUUUAGUGGAACGCUCUGGGAAGUGCGAACGUAGAGGGUGAUAUUCCCGUACACGAAAGGGCACACAUAAUGAUGACGAGUAGGGCGAGGCACGUGAAACCUUGUCUGAAUAUGGGGGGACCAUCCUCCAAGGCUAAAUACUCCUGACUGACCGAUAGUGAACCAGUACCGUGAGGGAAAGGCGAAAAGAACCCCUGUGAGGGGAGUGAAAUAGAUCCUGAAACCGCAUGCAUACAAGCAGUGGGAGCACCUUCGUGGUGUGACUGCGUACCUUUUGUAUAAUGGGUCAGCGACUUAUAUUCAGUAGCGAGGUUAACCGUAUAGGGGAGCCGUAGAGAAAUCGAGUCUUAAUAGGGCGUUUAGUUGCUGGGUAUAGACCCGAAACCAGGCGAUCUAUCCAUGAGCAGGUUGAAGGUUGGGUAACACUAACUGGAGGACCGAACCCACUGUCGUUGAAAAGCCAGGGGAUGACUUGUGGAUAGGGGUGAAAGGCUAAUCAAGCCUGGUGAUAGCUGGUUCUCCCCGAAAGCUAUUUAGGUAGCGCCUCGGACGAAUACCAUAGGGGGUAGAGCACUGUUUCGGCUAGGGGGUCAUCCCGACUUACCAAACCGAUGCAAACUCCGAAUACCUAUGAGUACUAUCCGGGAGACAGACUGCGGGUGCUAACGUCCGUAGUCAAGAGGAAAACAAUCCAGACCGCCAGCUAAGGCCCCAAAAUCAUAGUUAAGUGGGAAACGAUGUGGGAAGGCAUAGACAGCUAGGAGGUUGGCUUAGAAGCAGCCACCCUUUAAAGAAAGCGUAAUAGCUCACUAGUCGAGUCGGCCUGCGCGGAAGAUGUAACGGGGCUAAAACUAUGUGCCGAAGCUGCGGAUNNNNNNNNNNNNNNNNNNNNNNNNNNNNNNNNNNNNNUGCUGGAGGUAUCAGAAGUGCGAAUGCUGACGUGAGUAACGACAAAACGGGUGAAAAACCCGUUCGCCGAAAGACCAAGGGUUCCAGUCCAACGUUAAUCGGGGCUGGGUGAGUCGACCCCUAAGGCGAGGCCGAAAGGCGUAGUCGAUGGGAAAAUGGUUAAUAUUCCAUUACUUCUGUGUAAUGCGAUGAGAGGACGGAGAAGGCUAAAUCAGCCUGGCGUUGGUUGUCCAGGUGAAAGGAUGUAGGCAUGUAUCUUAGGCAAAUCCGGGGUACUCUAUGCUGAGAUCUGAUAGCAAGCUGUACUUGUACAGCGAAGUGGUUGAUGCCAUGCUUCCAGGAAAAGUCUCUAAGCUUCAGUUACACAGGAAUCGUACCCGAAACCGACACAGGUGGUCAGGUCGAGUAGACCAAGGCGCUUGAGAGAACUCUGCUGAAGGAACUAGGCAAAAUGGUACCGUAACUUCGGGAGAAGGUACGCUGUUGUUGGUGAUGGAACUCGCUUCCUGAGCUGACGACAGCCGCAGAAACCAGGCCGCUGCAACUGUUUAUUAAAAACAUAGCACUCUGCAAACACGAAAGUGGACGUAUAGGGUGUGAUGCCUGCCCGGUGCUGGAAGGUUAAUUGAUGGGGUUAGCGUAAGCGAAGCUCUUGAUCGAAGCCCCAGUAAACGGCGGCCGUAACUAUAACGGUCCUAAGGUAGCGAAAUUCCUUGUCGGGUAAGUUCCGACCUGCACGAAUGGCAUAAUGAUGGCGGCGCUGUCUCCAGCAGAGGCUCAGUGAAAUCGAAAUCGCUGUGAAGAUGCAGUGUACCCGCGGCUAGACGGAAAGACCCCGUGAACCUUUACUGCAGCUUGACACUGAACUUUGACCUUACUUGUGUAGGAUAGGUGGGAGGCUUUGAAGCUGGAACGCUAGUUCCAGUGGAGCCGUCCUUGAAAUACCACCCUGGUAAUGUUGAGGUUCUAACUCUGUCCCGUGAUCCGGGACGAGGACCGUGUCUGGUGGGUAGUUUGACUGGGGCGGUCUCCUCCUAAAGAGUAACGGAGGAGUACGAAGGUGCGCUCAGCGUGGUCGGAAAUCACGCGUAGAGUAUAAAGGCAAAAGCGCGCUUAACUGCGAGACCCACAAGUCGAGCAGGUACGAAAGUAGGUCUUAGUGAUCCGGUGGUUCUGUAUGGAAGGGCCAUCGCUCAACGGAUAAAAGGUACUCUGGGGAUAACAGGCUGAUACCGCCCAAGAGUUCAUAUCGACGGCGGUGUUUGGCACCUCGAUGUCGGCUCAUCUCAUCCUGGGGCUGAAGCAGGUCCCAAGGGUAUGGCUGUUCGCCAUUUAAAGAGGUACGCGAGCUGGGUUUAGAACGUCGUGAGACAGUUCGGUCCCUAUCUACCGUGGGCGCUGGAAAUUUGAGAGGAUCUGCUCCUAGUACGAGAGGACCAGAGUGGACGAACCUCUGGUGUACCGGUUGUGACGCCAGUCGCAUCGCCGGGUAGCUAUGUUCGGAAGGGAUAACCGCUGAAAGCAUCUAAGCGGGAAGCCUACCUCAAGAUAAGAUUUCCCUAGGACUUUAUGUCCUCUAAAGAGCCGUUCGAGACUAGGACGUUGAUAGGUUGGAUGUGGAAGCAUAGUGAUAUGUGAAGCUGACCAAUACUAAUUGCUCGUGAGGCUUGACUAUACAACACCCAAGCAGUUG